This is a non-coding RNA of Pristionchus pacificus, 72 nucleotides long. Lineage: Eukaryota; Metazoa; Nematoda; Chromadorea; Rhabditida; Neodiplogasteridae. The record is from Rfam.
UCCGAUGUAGUCUAGUGGUUAUGUUUUGCGGCUCUCACCCGCAAGGCCCGGGUUCGAUUCCCGGCAUCGGAA